RNAcentral lists this ribosomal RNA (381 nucleotides) under uncultured cyanobacterium. Its description in RNAcentral is "bacterial SSU rRNA". It matches the Rfam family "Bacterial small subunit ribosomal RNA", at positions 398 to 794 of the family's 1533-position model. The record is from RNAcentral. Lineage: Bacteria; Bacillati; Cyanobacteriota.
CGCGUGGGGGACGAAGGUUUUUGGAUCGUAAACCCCUUUUGUCAAGGAAGAAGCUCUGACGGUACUUGACGAAUAAGCCUCGGCUAACUCCGUGCCAGCAGCCGCGGUAAUACGGAGGAGGCAAGCGUUAUCCGGAAUGAUUGGGCGUAAAGCGUCUGUAGGUGGCCAGCUAAGUCUGCUGUUAAAGAUCACAGCUCAACUGUGGGAAGGCAGUGGAAACUGGCAAGCUAGAGGUUGGUAGGGGUAAAGGGAAUUCCCGGUGUAGCGGUGAAAUGCGUAGAUAUCGGGAAGAACACCGGUGGCGAAAGCGCUUUACUGGGCCAGACCUGACACUGAAGGACGAAAGCUAGGGGAGCGAAAGGGAUUAGAUACCCCUGUAGU